CAGCCACCUUACAAAAAGCGUUAAAGCUUCAUUGUUUUUAUCAAAAAUACCAUAAAUCAACUGUAACCCUUCACCUGUACUGAAUGAUCUCAUAAUUGUAUGAGAGCCUAUAUGUUAGAACUAGUAACAAGAAGAAGCCCUUCUCCAAAAUGUAAGCAUGAGCCAAAAUGAACUAUUCAUUGGCAUUUAAAGUUAUAAACCUAUUGUAGCAACUUAACAAGAAAAAUCUACAACUGUAUACGUCAACCUUACACCAGCACAUCUCUGGAAAGAUAAAAAGAAUAGGAAGGAACUCGGCAAAUAACUAACCCCGCCUGUUUACCAAAAACAUCGCCUCCUGAUUACCCAUAGGAGGUCCAGCCUGCCCAGUGACUAAGUUAAACGGCCGCGGUACCCUAACCGUGCAAAGGUAGCGCAAUCACUUGUUCUUUAAAUGAGGACUAGUAUGAACGGCAUCACGAGGGUUAUGCUGUCUCCCUACUCUACUCAGUGAAACUGAUCUCCCCGUGAAGAAGCGGGGAUAAAAAUAUAAGACGAGAAGACCCCAUGGAGCUUUAAACUCAGUACCAACUGCCCUAGUAAUAACCUAUUACCCUUGCAGUCAUGGUUACUAGUUUUCGGUUGGGGUGACCACGGAGUAAAACUUAACCUCCACGAUGAAAGGAACUAAUAUCCUAACCUAUGAGCUACAGCUCUAAGUAUCAACAAAUUGACUAACUGAUCCAAUUACUUGAUCAACGAACCAAGUUACCCUGGGGAUAACAGCGCAAUCCAUUUCAAGAGCUCAUAUCGACAAAUGGGUUUACGACCUCGAUGUUGGAUCAGGGUAUCCCAGUGGCGCAGCCGCUACUAAUGGUUC
Molecule: ribosomal RNA, 859 nt
Filed under: Microhyla mukhlesuri
Lineage: Eukaryota; Metazoa; Chordata; Amphibia; Anura; Microhylidae
Description: partial large subunit ribosomal RNA
Rfam family: Bacterial large subunit ribosomal RNA
Source: RNAcentral